Molecule: long non-coding RNA, 472 nt
Filed under: Zalophus californianus (California sea lion)
Lineage: Eukaryota; Metazoa; Chordata; Mammalia; Carnivora; Otariidae
Description: lncRNA (ENSZCAG00015009782.1)
Source: RNAcentral
AGCAGCCGCGCUGGGGGCGCCCGUCGCGGGGCAGUGGCGGCCCGGAGUCCAGGGCCUCGUCCCCCGCCCCCCAAGGAUUCUGCAGCUGGCGCCCACCCCAGGGCCUUCUGCGCGGCCCUGCAGGAGCAGGAGCGCGGGGGGCAGAGUGACGCCGGCUGUGAUGGGGGCUUACGGAGCGGGCCAAGGUCUUGAGUCGCUGUCUUCCGGCUGGUCUCCGCCUGUCCCUCCUGGAUCCAGCAAAUGCUCAGCCUGAGCCUCUCACCACACGGAUGGUGAUAAGGAGAGAGAAGCCGACCCAGGACACCUGGGCCCUGAUGACCACACCAGAUCGGAAAUAGGCCUGAGGGGCCCACAGUAUUCAGUGGGGCAUUCCUUGGGGAGCCAGGUGCUACCAGCAUUUCCUGCCACAUCACGGAACCCAGGACAAAGAAGCUGGCAGUGUCACAGAAUGAGAAGCUUUCUCUGGGCCCCC